UGACUGAGUGGCGGACGGGUGAGUAACGCGUGGGUAACCUGCCUCAUACAGGGGGAUAGCAGCUGGAAACGGCUGGUAAUACCGCAUAAGACCACAGCACCGCAUGGUGCAGGGGUAAAACCUCCGGUGGUAUGAGAUGGACCCGCGUCUGAUUAGGUAGUUGGUGGGGUAACGGCCUACCAAGCCGACGAUCAGUAGCCGACCUGAGAGGGUGACCGGCCACAUUGGGACUGAGACACGGCCCAAACUCCUACGGGAGGCAGCAGUGGGGAAUAUUGCACAAUGGGGGAAACCCUGAUGCAGCGACGCCGCGUGAGCGAUGAAGUAUUUCGGUAUGUAAAGCUCUAUCAGCAGGGAAGAAAAUGACGGUACCUGACUAAGAAGCACCGGCUAAAUACGUGCCAGCAGCCGCGGUAAUACGUAUGGUGCAAGCGUUAUCCGGAUUUACUGGGUGUAAAGGGAGCGUAGACGGAGUGGCAAGUCUGAUGUGAAAACCCGGGGCUCAACCCCGGGACUGCAUUGGAAACUGUCAAUCUGGAGUACCGGAGAGGUAAGCGGAAUUCCUAGUGUAGCGGUGAAAUGCGUAGAUAUUAGGAGGAACACCAGUGGCGAAGGCGGCUUACUGGACGGUAACUGACGUUGAGGCUCGAAAGCGUGGGGAGCAAACAGGAUUAGAUACCCUGGUAGUCCACGCCGUANACGAUGACUANUAGGUGUCGGGCAGCAAAGCUGUUCGGUGCCGCAGCAAACGCAAUAAGUAGUCCACCUGGGGAGUACGUUCGCAAGAAUGAAACUC
RNAcentral lists this ribosomal RNA (796 nucleotides) under uncultured bacterium. Its description in RNAcentral is "bacterial SSU rRNA". It matches the Rfam family "Bacterial small subunit ribosomal RNA", at positions 88 to 902 of the family's 1533-position model. The record is from RNAcentral.